Molecule: long non-coding RNA, 640 nt
Filed under: Pan paniscus (pygmy chimpanzee)
Lineage: Eukaryota; Metazoa; Chordata; Mammalia; Primates; Hominidae
Description: lncRNA (ENSPPAG00000045613.1)
Source: RNAcentral
AGCUAAUAUUCAAUAUCUGUCAAUGUCCAUAUAGUUAAUGACAACUCUACCCUAUGGUGAUUAGUACUCAUGAUUGUAAAUUUUGAAAAUUAUUUUGAAGUCUUGCUGACAGUCUGGCUUUGCUGCUGAAGUUCAAGCUUUACCUUGCCCACAACCCUUGUUCCACAGGACCUGAGUUCAAAAUGUUUCUUGGCAGUUGAUCUUUGUCUUAGAAAAUUCCAGCAAAAUGUUCUGGUGGAGGAAGGUUUUUUGGUGUGGAACAACAGACAUAAACUAUGGAAAUGCACAGAAGUAAAGGCAUUUUUCAGAGAACCAAAGCCUAUCAUCUGGAACAGGAAAGGAGACAUACCUUCAUUGAAUGAGUGAUGAAAAAUACUGUUGGGCAAGUUAGUUGGAGUUGUCGAUUGGGAUUAUGUUCCACAGCCCUUCUCUCAGUGAAAGGCCUUCUUUUCAUGAUCACCUUUACCUGGAAGAGGAGGAUUGACACUUCUGUGUGGAGAGCAGGGAACUAUUGAUUGUCAGGCUUUUUGAGGGUAGAAUGGGAAGUUUGCCUAUAUUGGGUAUACACAGCCCAGCUAUCCUCACAUUCAUUCAAAUGCCAAAGUAAAAACUUUUUGGUGGUACCAGCAUGUACACUAAA